UUUAAAUUGAGAGUUUGAUCCUGGCUCAGGACGAACGCUGGCGGCGUGCCUAACACAUGCAAGUCGAGCGAUGAAACUUCCUUCGGGGAGUGGAUUAGCGGCGGACGGGUGAGUAACACGUGGGUAACCUGCCUCAAAGAGGGGGAUAGCCUCCCGAAAGGGAGAUUAAUACCGCAUAACAUUAUUUUAUGGCAUCAUAGAAUAAUCAAAGGAGCAAUCCGCUUUGAGAUGGACCCGCGGCGCAUUAGCUAGUUGGUGAGGUAAGGGCUCACCAAGGCGACGAUGCGUAGCCGACCUGAGAGGGUGAUCGGCCACAUUGGAACUGAGACACGGUCCAGACUCCUACGGGAGGCAGCAGUGGGGAAUAUUGCGCAAUGGGGG
This 381-nucleotide ribosomal RNA is filed under the name Clostridium botulinum. RNAcentral's name for it is "bacterial SSU rRNA". It matches the Rfam family "Bacterial small subunit ribosomal RNA", at positions 1 to 377 of the family's 1533-position model. Lineage: Bacteria; Bacillati; Bacillota; Clostridia; Eubacteriales; Clostridiaceae. The record is from RNAcentral.